This 253-nucleotide ribosomal RNA is filed under the name uncultured bacterium. Its description in RNAcentral is "partial 16S ribosomal RNA". It matches the Rfam family "Bacterial small subunit ribosomal RNA", at positions 524 to 776 of the family's 1533-position model. The record is from RNAcentral.
UACGGAGGAUCCGAGCGUUAUCCGGAUUUAUUGGGUUUAAAGGGUGCGCAGGCGGCCUGUUAAGUCAGCGGUAAAAGCCCGGGGCUCAACCCCGGCGAGCCGUUGAAACUGGCGGGCUAGAGAGCAGGAGAGGGCGGUGGAACUCCAUGUGUAGCGGUAAAAUGCGUAGAUAUAUGGAAGAACACCAGUGGCGAAGGCGGCCGCCUGGCCUGUUAACUGACGCUGAGGCACGAAAGCGUGGGGAGCAAAUAGG